Mauremys reevesii (Reeves's turtle) is the source of this 1064-nucleotide long non-coding RNA. RefSeq lists it as uncharacterized. Lineage: Eukaryota; Metazoa; Chordata; Testudines; Geoemydidae. The transcript is spliced from 4 exons. The record is from RefSeq and is a predicted model, not a curated record.
AAUCACUAAGAGAAUGAUGUGCAGAGGUCACAGCAGAGAGAGGCAGGUGGCAGCAGAAGGUGACUGACAGUUGGCUGAUGAACAAGUGGCUGGUGAGGCAGUGAGCAGAGCGAGCAGCCAGAAGUACGAUUGGUGGAGAGGCACAGUGAGCGGCCAGCAGGGCAGCUGGUAGAAAGGCGCAGUGGGCGGCGGAUGAGCAGUGGAGCGAGUAAAGUGCCUCCUUACCUCUACACAGAGUGGGAGGUGAACUCUACAGAGGCACCUUUGAAGCCUGGGUCUGCACAGACCAAGGACAGCAACUGAAACCUGGAUGUCCUGUCACAUACAAGGAGACUGGAGCACUAGUGUACAAGCCCGGAGAAGGAAAAGAGCAAUCAGGAGGAAGAUUGUUUGAGAAUGUAAUUAGAAUAGAGAAACAGCAUGAUACAGCUAAACUGUCUUCUUUACUCUAACAACAUCUAAUCCAGAGGGUCCAGUAGCAGAGAGGAGACAGAAGGAAGGAGCUAGUGCUAAGCCAAGUGAGGCAGCAUUGGAUCAUCUCCCUACCUGAUAUAUGUGGAGUAAGGAAGCAUUGUGAAGGGUGAGGAAGAGGAAGAAGAGACCCUGGUAAAGGAUCCAGGAAUGGAGAGAGACAAGGGUUACCUAGGAUUCUGUGCUCUUUGCAGAAGCUCUAAGACACAGGUGUGAAUGGUUUCUAGCUGUCUAGAUCUUAGCUCCCAAAUCAGUGGAGCAUCUGAGAAGACAAGGACAAGCCCAAAAGCCAUGGCCAUUUAGCAACCAAUGACCAUGGCUAUCCCAGCUCUCAUCAGGAAGCCAAGCAAUGUUGCCCAGCUGGGGAAAAAAGGAAUGGGAAGGUGCUAGAGUUGUUUAAGAAUUGGCUGCUGCAGGCUUCUGGGGGUUCACCUGAAGUGGGACAAAGGACAUCAGACAGAUGGGGAGACAGAGCUUGAACAAAGGGUGUUUACUACAGCUUGGCUGGGCUCUCCCAGAAUGGACUGUGCUGUAACUAUCUUUUCUCAGUACUAAUCAAGGACUUUUUAUGCUGUGUUCCAGUCAACUAAUAA